CAUAUCAAUAAGCGGAGGAAAAGAAACCAACAGGGAUUGCUUUAGUAACGGCGAGUGAAGCGGCAAUAGCUCAAAUUUGAAAUCUGGCGCUUGCGUCCGAGUUGUAAUUUGUAGAGGAUGAUUUUGGUUAGGUACCUUUCGAGUUCCUUGGAACAGGACGCCUUAGAGGGUGAGAGCCCCGUACGAUUGGAUGCCGAGCCUCUGUAAAUCUCCUUCGACGAGUCGAGUAGUUUGGGAAUGCUGCUCUAAAUGGGAGGUAAAUUUCUUCUAAAGCUAAAUACCGGCCAGAGACCGAUAGCGCACAAGUAGAGUGAUCGAAAGAUGAAAAGCACUUUGAAAAGAGGGUUAAAUAGCACGUGAAAUUGUUGAAAGGGAAGGAUUUAUGACCAGACUUUUUCUAGGAGAAUCAUCCGGUGUUCUCACCGGUGCACUUCUUUUAGUUUAGGCCAGCAUCGACUUUCGGCGGUGGAUAAAAGCUUUAGGAAUGUGGCUUCUCUCGGGAAGUGUUAUAGCCUAUUGUAUAAUACACUGCUGGGGGUCGAGGUACGCGCUUCUGCAAGGAUGCUGGCGUAAUGGUUAUCAAUCACCCGUCUUGAAACACGGACCAAGGAGUCGAACAUUUGUGCGAGUGUUUGGGUGUUAAACCCUCACGCGUAAUGAAAGUGAACGGAGGUGAGAGCCCUUACGGGUGCAUCAUCGACCGAUCCUGAUGUUUUCGGAUGGAUUUGAGUAAGAGCAUAAAUGUUCGGACCCGAAAGAUGGUGAACUAUGCGUGGAUAGGGUGAAGCCAGAGGAAACUCUGGUGGAGGCUCGCAGCGGUUCUGACGUGCAAAUCGAUCGUCAAAUCUGCGCAUGGGGGCGAAAGACUAAUCGAACCAUCUAGUAGCUGGUUACC
Molecule: ribosomal RNA, 895 nt
Filed under: Bartalinia caryotae
Lineage: Eukaryota; Fungi; Ascomycota; Sordariomycetes; Amphisphaeriales; Sporocadaceae
Description: Bartalinia sp. ICS-2021a partial large subunit ribosomal RNA
Rfam family: Eukaryotic large subunit ribosomal RNA
Source: RNAcentral